This 443-nucleotide ribosomal RNA is filed under the name uncultured bacterium. Its description in RNAcentral is "bacterial SSU rRNA". It matches the Rfam family "Bacterial small subunit ribosomal RNA", at positions 28 to 507 of the family's 1533-position model. The record is from RNAcentral.
GAUGAGCGCUGGCGGUAUGCCUAACACAUGCAAGUCGUACGCCUCACUUCGGUGAGGAGUGGCGGACGGGUGAGUAACACGUUAGUACCUGCCCCAAAGUGGGGAAUAACUGCCCGAAAGGGUAGCUAAUACCCCAUAGUCUCCGGUUUAUCCGGAGUAAAGAUUUAUCGCUUUGGGAGGGGCUUGCGUUUGAUUAGCUAGUUGGUGAGGGUAAUGGCCCACCAAGGCGACGAUCAAUAGCUGGAUCGAGAGGUUGACCAGCCACACUGGGACUGAGAUACGGCCCAGACUCCUACGGGAGGCAGCAGUGAGGAAUCUUGGACAAUGGGCGCAAGCCUGAUCCAGCCAUGCCGCGUGGAUGAUGAAGGCCUUAGGGUUGUAAAAUCCUUUCAACGGGGACGAUAAUGACGGUACCCGUAGAAGAAGCCCCGGCUAACUUCGUG